CACCGCCGAACAACCAGCCCUGAAAAUGGAUGGCGCUGGAGCGUCCCACUUAAUCCGGACCGCUUGGGCAGUUGUGUCCUUCUCGCGGAGGAAAGCCAAGCUCAAGCGAGUAGGAGGGCCGCUGUGGUGAGCGUCGAAGCCUGGGACGCGAGUCUGGGUGGAGCCGCCACAGGCGCAGAUCUUGGUGGUAGUAGCAAAUAUUCAAACGAGAACUUUGAAGGCCGAGAAGGAA
RNAcentral lists this ribosomal RNA (232 nucleotides) under Truncatella pulchella. RNAcentral's name for it is "partial 28S ribosomal RNA". It matches the Rfam family "Eukaryotic large subunit ribosomal RNA", at positions 1291 to 1501 of the family's 3401-position model. The record is from RNAcentral. Lineage: Eukaryota; Metazoa; Mollusca; Gastropoda; Littorinimorpha; Truncatellidae.